CUGAGCUCGGAGCAUGGAACCGCUGGUGUUUGGCUCCUAUCUGUAGGUCCCGCGUAAUAUGCCCAACUCCAACCUUAACUGGCCUACUGGGACCCCUUUCUGAUGGUUUCCGUGGGUCCACUGUCUAGAUAUGGUACGAGUGGGAUGUGCAGAUACUGUUGGCCAAUUUUACCUAUGAGGCGGAUGAUUACAGUUAAUGGCAGUUCCAGUUUUCUUGCCAUUCAAACAAGAGAUUCUUCAGAGGCUGUUACUAAACAGGGGUAGUGGGAGUACUGGCGAUUGAACCCAGGAAUGCUUUACCACUCAGUUACAUUUAAGGCUGGCCUCAAAACUUGCAAAACUCCUGCAUUAGUCUCCCAAAUCACUAGGAUUACAGGUAUGUGCCAUUGUGCUCAGCUCUUACUAUCUUUCACAUUAGUAAACCUUUCCCUGACCACCUCUUCCACUUAAAAUAAGACUCAUUGCCAUCCUCCAUUAAUUAACUAAUUUACUUUUCUCCCAAAGUUCUUAACUCUCCAACAGGACAUAUAUUUAUUUGCUGUUUAACUCUCUUAAACAAUUAUAAACUGCAUAAAGACAGAGCUUUAUCUGUUUUGCUCACAAUUUAAACCAAGUAAAAACUGAAUAAACAUUUA
Long non-coding RNA from Marmota monax (woodchuck), 635 nucleotides. RefSeq lists it as uncharacterized. The record is from RefSeq and is a predicted model, not a curated record. The transcript is spliced from 3 exons. Lineage: Eukaryota; Metazoa; Chordata; Mammalia; Rodentia; Sciuridae.